Molecule: ribosomal RNA, 223 nt
Filed under: uncultured bacterium
Lineage: Bacteria
Description: partial 16S ribosomal RNA
Rfam family: Bacterial small subunit ribosomal RNA
Source: RNAcentral
GGUUUAAUUCGAAGCAACGCGAAGAACCUUACCAAGUCUUGACAUCCCGAUGACAGAACAUGUAAUGUGUUUUCUCUUCGGAGCAUCGGUGACAGGUGGUGCAUGGUUGUCGUCAGCUCGUGUCGUGAGAUGUUGGGUUAAGUCCCGCAACGAGCGCAACCCCUAUUCUUAGUAGCCAGCGGGUAAGCCGGGCACUCUAGGGAGACUGCAGGGAUAACCUGGA